Molecule: ribosomal RNA, 465 nt
Filed under: Vreelandella stevensii
Lineage: Bacteria; Pseudomonadati; Pseudomonadota; Gammaproteobacteria; Oceanospirillales; Halomonadaceae
Description: partial 16S ribosomal RNA
Rfam family: Bacterial small subunit ribosomal RNA
Source: RNAcentral
CCUACGGGUGGCUGCAGUGGGGAAUAUUGGACAAUGGGCGAAAGCCUGAUCCAGCCAUGCCGCGUGUGUGAAGAAGGCCUUCGGGUUGUAAAGCACUUUCAGUGGGGAAGAAAGCCUUGGGGCUAAUACCCUCGUGUAAGGACAUCACCCACAGAAGAAGCACCGGCUAACUCCGUGCCAGCAGCCGCGGUAAUACGGAGGGUGCGAGCGUUAAUCGGAAUUACUGGGCGUAAAGCGCGCGUAGGCGGUCUGAUAAGCCGGUUGUGAAAGCCCCGGGCUCAACCUGGGAACGGCAUCCGGAACUGUCAGGCUAGAGUGCAGGAGAGGAAGGUAGAAUUCCCGGUGUAGCGGUGAAAUGCGUAGAGAUCGGGAGGAAUACCAGUGGCGAAGGCGGCCUUCUGGACUGACACUGACGCUGAGGUGCGAAAGCGUGGGUAGCAAACAGGAUUAGAUACCCUUGUAGUC